Pimephales promelas (fathead minnow) is the source of this 239-nucleotide non-coding RNA. Lineage: Eukaryota; Metazoa; Chordata; Actinopteri; Cypriniformes; Leuciscidae. The record is from RefSeq and is a predicted model, not a curated record.
GUUCUUGUUAAUGCAAUAAAAAGAGAAAAGCGCGAGAGACACGAGACAAGAGCUGAAACUUUCACCAGUUGAGGGUGAAAGUGAUCAUGAAUGAAGAGCAAAUGUGAAAUAUAUGCCGCAUAUUUCCAGUCUGCAGAUCUGGUCCUGUGGGCGUCAGUAUCACACAGUGAUCACAGUUCACACCUGCAGUGAAGCCCCUCCCACAACAAUUCACCAAUAAAUACUGGGAAUAUUCCCAU